GAUGAACGCUGGCGGUAUGCUUAACACAUGCAAGUCGAACGGUCACUUCGGUGAUAGUGGCGGACGGGUGAGUAACGCGUGAGAAUCUUUCCUCAGGUCUGGGACAACAGUUAGAAAUGACUGCUAAUACCGGAUGUGCCUUUGGGUGAAAGAUUUAUUGCCUGAAAAAGAGCUCGCGUCAGAUUAGCUAGUAGGUGGUGUAAGAGACUACCUAGGCUCCGAUCUGUAGCUGGUCUGAGAGGACGAUCAGCCACACUGGAACUGAGACACGGUCCAGACUCCUACGGGAGGCAGCAGUGGGGAAUUUUCCGCCAUGGGCGAAAGCCUGACGGAGCAAUACCGCGUGAGGGACGAAGGCUUUUGGGUCGUAAACCUCUUUUCUCAAGGAAGAUGAUGACGGUACUUGAGGAAUAAGCAUCGGCUAACUCUGUG
This 432-nucleotide ribosomal RNA is filed under the name uncultured bacterium. RNAcentral describes it as "partial 16S ribosomal RNA". It matches the Rfam family "Bacterial small subunit ribosomal RNA", at positions 28 to 507 of the family's 1533-position model. The record is from RNAcentral.